Molecule: ribosomal RNA, 370 nt
Filed under: uncultured bacterium
Lineage: Bacteria
Description: bacterial SSU rRNA
Rfam family: Bacterial small subunit ribosomal RNA
Source: RNAcentral
UACGGAGGAUCCAAGCGUUGUCCGGAUUUAUUGGGUUUAAAGGGUGCGUAGGCGGACCAUUAAGUCAGAGGUGAAAGUUUGCAGCUUAACUGUAAAAUUGCCUUUGAAACUGGUGGUCUUGAGUACAGUUGAGGUGGGCGGAAUGUGUCAUGUAGCGGUGAAAUGCUUAGAUAUGAUACAGAACACCGAUUGCGAAGGCAGCUCACUAAACUGUAACUGACGCUGAGGCACGAAAGCGUGGGGAGCGAACAGGAUUAGAUACCCUGGUAGUCCACGCCCUAAACGUUGAAUACUCGUUGUUGGCGAUAUACAGUCAGCGACUAAGCGAAAGCAUUAAGUAUUCCACCUGGGGAGUACGACCGCAAGGUUG